RNAcentral lists this ribosomal RNA (446 nucleotides) under Sericinus montela. Its description in RNAcentral is "partial 28S ribosomal RNA". Lineage: Eukaryota; Metazoa; Arthropoda; Insecta; Lepidoptera; Papilionidae. The record is from RNAcentral.
AAACCUGCGAAACUCGAAUGAACGAACGGAGAGAUUCAUCGUCACUCCGCGGCGUACGCGCUCGCGCUCUGAUGACGUCCGUCCCUUAAUCGGGUAGCGGGCGUCACGGGACGGGCGCGUCGACGUUCGCGGACGGCGUGCACUUCUCUCUCAGUAAUACAUCGCGACCCGUUCGACGUCGGUCUAAGCGCCUCUCGGGAGUCCAUUCGUCCCUUCAAAACGGACGGGUGGACCGGGACGGUGGCCGACCGGCCGUCGGACGGUAGAAGACACGAAUCGCGCACGCGCACAUUCUAAAGCGCGUCCGGCCCGACGCAAGACAACGUCGUCAUCGAGGUCCUGCCGUUGCGCGGACAUCUUUGCGGCGCGUCUGUUGUCGCUGCCGUGCAGUCUCGGACCGUGCGCGUCUCAGUCGGCGAUGAUUCAGUUUCGGGCACUCGCAGGAC